Molecule: small nucleolar RNA, 107 nt
Filed under: Sorghum bicolor (sorghum)
Lineage: Eukaryota; Viridiplantae; Streptophyta; Magnoliopsida; Poales; Poaceae
Description: Plant small nucleolar RNA R71
Rfam family: Plant small nucleolar RNA R71
About the family: R71 is a member of the C/D box family of snoRNAs containing the C (UGAUGA) and D (CUGA) box motifs. Multiple nearly identical copies of this snoRNA have been identified in Arabidopsis, and it is thought to function as a 2'-O-ribose methylation guide for 18S ribosomal RNA.
Source: Rfam by way of RNAcentral
AUUCCAUGGUGAGGACAUUCUUUUAUGUAUCCUUGAAAAUGCUCCCAUGCUUCUGAAAUGGUUUCUGUCUUCUGCUGUUGGAAACUGACAAUAUUCCUCUUAAGGCA